This 500-nucleotide ribosomal RNA is filed under the name uncultured bacterium. RNAcentral describes it as "partial 16S ribosomal RNA". It matches the Rfam family "Bacterial small subunit ribosomal RNA", at positions 30 to 523 of the family's 1533-position model. The record is from RNAcentral.
AUUGAACGCUGGCGGCAUGCUUUACACAUGCAAGUCGAACGGUAACAGGGUGCUUGCACCGCUGACGAGUGGCGAACGGGUGAGUAAUGCGUCGGAACGUGCCGAGUAGUGGGGGAUAACGCAGCGAAAGUUGUGCUAAUACCGCAUACGUACUGAGGUAGAAAGUGGGGGACCUUCGGGCCUCACGCUAUUCGAGCGGCCGACGUCUGAUUAGCUAGUAGGUGAGGUAAAGGCUCGCCUAGGCGACGAUCAGUAGCGGGUCUGAGAGGAUGAUCCGCCAAACUGGGACUGAGACACGGCCCAGAUUCCUACGGGGGGCAGCAGUGGGGAAUUUUGGACAAUGGGCGAAAGCCUGAUCCAGCCAUGCCGCGUGUCUGAAGAAGGCCUUCGGGUUGUAAAGGACUUUUGUCAGGGAGGAAAUCCCUAGUGCUAAUAACACUGGGGGAUGACAGUACCUGAAGAAUAAGCACCGGCUAACUACGUGCCAGCCGCCGCCGUAA